AUCUCACACCCCAGGACUAGGGGCGCUGUCUCUUUGGUGCCAGUAUUCCAAGCGGCAUCCCUGCUCGGGGGGGAUGGAUGGACACAGAGGGUUCUGCCAGUUGGGGUUGUCCCGGCCGAUGGCUGCCAACUGGAUACAGAGGAGGGAAGGCUCAACGUUCAGCAGUCACGUCUGCUUUUCUCUGGCAGAGGGUGAGCUAGCCUGGGGGAUGGGGGGACAGGGACAGUGUUCUCCAGGACAGCCAGGUGGUAGGAAACAUCAGUGGGCAGAACAGUGACCAGAAGAGCUACCACCACUGGGUGCUUUCUGGGAGCUGGGCACUGUGCUCUUCGUGUUAUGGGCCAAACUCGUGCUUCCCUCACCGUCACCCAGGGAGGGAGGGGUAUCGUUCCGUUCUCCAGCUGGGAAGAGAUGAGGCUCCAGGAAGUGACUGAUAGUUGUCCAAGGCUACCCAGUAGAGGGAGGUGGAGCCAGGAUUUGAACCCAAGUCUGCCUCACUCCAAGAUUAUUCCUGAGAUGUCUUUGACCCAGGUGUUACUUAGAAGCGGGUUACUUAAUCUCCAGAUACUUGUGGGUUUUCCAGCUCGCCUUCUGUUAUUGAUUUCUAGUUCAGUUUCACUGUGGUCUAGGAUCAUGCUUUGUAUGAUUUCUUCUUUCUUUUUUUUUUUUUGCCUUUUAAAUUUGUUAGGAUGUGUUUUCUGGUCAAGGAUGCGGUCUCUCUUGGUGAAUGUUCCAUGUGAACAGCAGAAUCUUCUGCUGUGGUUGGGUGGCGUGUUUCAUAAACAUCAAUUAGGUCUAGUGGAUUGAUAAGGUCAACUAUAUCGUACUGAUUUUCUGCCUGCUUGGUCUAUCAGUUCCCGGAAGAUGGAUGUUGAUGUCUUUGGAAUCUACUCUGGAGCCCUGAACUGCUGUCUCCUUUACGGCCUCCCAGUUUGUGGAAACCUGGGUUCUGACCACACAACCAUCUCUGUGUCUCCACCACAGAGAGCGUGUGCUCUUUACCAGGGAGCCUGUGGUCUGCAUGCUGAGUUUUCAGGCUCAGUUUCUAUUGAACAUUUACUGGUCAAGAAAUGGCCUGAGUUGGGGUUUCUUAGGUCCUAGUUUGACAUUUCUCCACCAAUUUGACCUUUUUGGCUCUGGAAAAUGUAGCCCAAUGUGGUUCAGCCCUCGUUGGAAAAAACCCAGGAGGAGAAGUCUGAUAAUAGCAUAGAAGGCAUAGGAGGAAGGGCAAGAGUUUGAGACCAUCUAGAAGGGCCCCAUGCGCACUGAUCCUUUUCUGUCUAUGGGGUCCUAGAACACUCUCAUCCAAGGCUCUUCUCUUGGAACGCUCACCGUUGGUCAGCCAUAUAGUUCUUCAUCCUCUGAAAAAUACAGCUGUGCCCUCACCUUCCACAACCCAUCUCUAACCACAUCAACUCUCCAUUUUCAUGUUUUCUGGGAUUUUGUGGACAAGGACAUUUCUGCCCUCGCAGAGAUGCUGUUGACUAGCCAAAGACACCAGUUGGCUGUGGACAGAAUCCCAGUGCACAAAAUCUGAGUGUGGAAGGUUCUCGCAGGUCCUAUAACCCAACCCUUCACUUCAGAGAGAGGCACCCAAAGGGAACACGACUCUCACAAGCUGCUUAGCUCAUCGGGGCAGGAGGAUGGUGGGUCAGCGUGGGCUCCAUCCUGAGGCCCAAGGCAGAGCCCUUGAGCCCUUCCCUCCUCAGCUGUACUUUCCUGCUAAAGCAGGGGGUUAUUUGGGAGAGGCUGGGGUCCAUGCACACGAUUCCCAUGAGGCAGAAACAGUGGGUGCUUUCACUUAGUCUCCCAUUACAAAAUGAUGCCAAAGAAAACUCCUCCCCCACCCCCGCCAAAAAUAAGCUCCUUGGGUUGGAAGAUGACCAAAAAGCUAUCCGUAUAAUGACUGACUUCUCCUCUCAAGAGUUCUAAGCACCUAUGAAUGCCCUUGAACCAUAAUUACAAUGCUCGUGCUAAAAAGAAAAAAAUUAGUAUAAAUAUAGUGGUGGGCACACCAGAUAAACCAGGGCUGAGAUGCUUCAAUGUCUUCUAAGCUGUGGUCUGAUUUUCCUCUCUCAGCAUAAAGACUCUUUUGAAUCUCUUUUCACCGUACUGUUUAGACGUCAUGGGAAAUGCAUUUAUACGUUUGAUGGCAUACUGCACUAUGACAGUGUUUGAAAGUUAUAAAUACACUUUAAUCACAUCAAAAAUAAAAGAAGAAAAAAGAUUCAGGAUUCCACCAUUAUUCCAGCAGCUUCAUCAUUUCUGUCCCCAGCAUUACCACCAUUUGGUUAACUAGUCCUUCUUGGUGUCCAUUUGGGCCACGUUUGCCCCAAAACAAACAUUUUUGUGUUCAUGGUUAUUUCUCAAUCUAGGGUUAUUCUUCUGGGAUAGAUACUAAGAAGUGCAAUGACUGGAUGGAAGGUUAAGUUUCUUUUAUGGCCCUUGGUGUAUGGCAAGGGCCAUACAUUUUUUUCCAGGGGGUUGCCAAAUUAUUUUCCAGGGGGUUGUACCCAUAUCCGUUGCCGUCAGCUAUAGAAUUACCCACCUCCUAAGUCACUGACAGCUGGGGCAGAAGAAGCCAAGAAGAAAUUCUCCUGAAAGAAAUCCUUCAGGAUAAAUGGAAUAGGAUGGUACCAAAACGGUCACUCUGCUCAGUCAGUAAAUGACCUGGUCUGUCUUGAAGUGAUUUUUAUUCCCAGAUUGACUGCUUUUAGGAGAUAUGCAAUGUUUGGGGUAGAAUGAGAACUUUUAAAGUUUGAUUUUACCUGCGGAUGGAGUUGUGAUUACAGACUGGAAGGGGGAUUGUGUGGUCGUCGGGUCAUCUGGCCCAACACUUGUGUUUUCAUUGAGGGGCCAGGACCAUUGAGGGGAUGUGAAAGCCCGAGGUCACAAGCCAGGCUGUGACAGAGCCUCUGAGUUUCUGGACGCCCAGCCCACGGCUCUCUGCACUCAGCCUCCCGGAUGCCAGCUCUGUCCAGGAUGCAGGAGGAGGCCAGACUGUUUGUGCUUGUUUGGAAAAGUGAGCAAUAUGUUUAUUCGAUUGUUUGGUUACACAUAGACCGAAAUACAACUGGAGCGUCAUACAUAAAAUGCAAUUCUCUAGUAGCCACAUUAAAGAAGUAAAAAGAAACAGUGACUUUUUUCUUUUUUUUUUUUAAUGCCGUUCUAUUGAGAUAUUAUUCACAUACCAUAAAAUUCACCCUUUUAAAGCGGAUAGAUCAGAGUUUUUAUAUACUUACAGAGUAGUGCAACUGUCAUCACUGUGCAAUUCUAGAAUACUUUCCUCACUCCAGAAAGCAGCCCGGUACCGGUUAGCAGUCACCACAUACUUCCUUUCUGCCCUAGGCAACCACUAAUCUCUGUCUGUCUCUAUGAAUUUCCCUAUUCUGGACAUGGGACAUUUCAUAUAAAUGGAAUCAUACAUUUGUGGUCCUUUGUAACUGGCUUCUUUCACUGACCGUAAUGUUUUCAAGGUUCAUCCACGUUGCGUGUGUCCAUGCUUCAUUCCGUUUUAUGAUCGAAUAAUAUUCUGUUGUGUGACUGUAGUAAGGCCAGACUUUUAUUUUAUCUCCUCUUUCUGCUGGGGAAAUCCUAAUCCCAGCCCCAGAAGUCACCUUGACAGUGACUAGACGGCUCAGAUGGCUCAGAAGAAACUGGAGCACAGGAUGCAGGAAGCCAGCCUGGAAAAUAAGAAUAUUCCAUAAGGAUGGGAAUUACAUACUGAAAGGAAAAGAUCAGGAAGUGCACUUUUCAGAUUUAUUAGAUCAUAUGAUAUUUUUUUGGAGCUGGAAAUAAUGUUGGAAAUGGUCUAGUCUGUCCCUCGUCUUACUGAUGAGGUAACUGAGACCCAGAGAGGGGAAGUGGCUUGUCUUGGGUCUUUACUUCUCACUUGAGCCAAAGAUUCCUUCUGACUUUUGUCUCAGUUUUACAAGUUACCCUCCUCACACCUCGAAGACAAUGCUCAUCAGCAAACGGGCAGGGGGUACCUCUCAGGAAGAACUGUGCCCUUCCUGGACGGAGGGCCUUGCUUCACCAUCACAUCCCCGCUUCUCCUUUCCCAAGCCCCAGGCCAACCCUCCCGGACCAGGGGCUACAGGAGGGUGGCUGCUGACAGCUCAGGAGUGUGUCCCAGACCCUUAAUAAAUGGACCCAUCACCGCCCAGCCCGCUGGUCGCAGCUGGAGGCUUCGGGAGCCUGCGCUGGCUUGGCCACUUCAGACACAACAACCGGGAGGAAGGAGCUGGAGCGGGAAGGGAACCCAGCUGAGAAAUCUGGGGAGGUCAGGACGGGAGCCAGGUGCUAAUCAGGAGGAAAGUUAAUGGUGUUUUUGUGAGCGGAGCAGUCAGCUGUUUCCUCAAAGAUGAUGAUAGACGCAUCAUUCGGGUGUUCAGGAGACUUCUGAAAAAGGAAAUCGUGCGGUGGAGCUGAUGGGAAACUUCUUUUUCUGACUAUUUUCCUGACAUCCGACAGGUCAGAAAACAACGAUUAAAGGCAACGAUACCCAGCAAACCCAAGCAUUCACCAUGAGGAUGCAAGCGAGGACUUUUUUUUUUGCCAGCGAGAGUGAAAAGCGGUUAUCAAUGACAGGCACCUUUAGACAUAGACGCAUUGUUCUGGAAAAGGCGUCUUUUGCCAGUAGAGCUGAAGCUGCAGAGAACUGGGCCGUGCGCAUGACUGACGGCCAGCUGGCCGGGUGCCCCCCGAAAGCCGUUCCUCCUCCAGAGAGGCUGCUUAGACGUGUUCGGGUCGCCUUUUUCCCCCUUCACUUCACCUGCCGAGUCUUUUCCAGCAUCACCGGCAGCAGCCUGGUCCCAGCCCCUGCAAACAGUCACUCGCUCAGGGCCCAUGGAUAGGGGGGACGGGUUUGCAGUCUGAGGUCUGGCGUCAGGCGAGCUUUUCCCGCUCUGAGCCGUCUGAGAGACCGCGCCGGAAAGCCAGGGGCUGCCGGGCCUUGGAAGUGCCGGUGUGGGCUGGAAAUUGAGGCCAGGCUCCCGGGCUCCUCCCCCCUCUGCCUCCUUUAUUCAUUAGGAGCAGAGAAAUGGGUCACACGUAACUCUCCUGAAUUUUACUUCUUCAUUUGUCUGCAAAAGACAGAGAGUGUAGUGGUCCAUCAUCCAUUAUGCAUCUUAAAAAAAAAUAACAGUUGCUACCUGCGAAUUCAGUUUCUUUUGACAAAAAUAGGGCUGAGGGCCCUUGGCCAUGGGAAGCUUGAUUCCAAAGCUGUGUCUUUUCUGUUUUGAUCUGUCUCACUUAGAUUUGCAGACGGUGGCCCUGAGAGGUACAGGACUUUAAGGUGAUUGUAGACGUCAGCCGGCUGCCUUGGUCACAGCCAAGUGAUGCCUCUCUCUCCUGAGCGUUUUCCCUGCAGGGUUCAGAGAAACCUAGCUGCACGGGCCCCUCUGCCCUGGAAUCUGCAGCCGCAGCACUGAUUAGAAUGGGGGUCUGGUUUCCUGGAAUGUGCAAGGUCUCGCUGCUGUUUCUGCUGUCUCCACGCUCCAGACCAGCGUUGGGCCAGACUCUGGGUUGGAGCCGUGGCUGACAGGUUUUCCUUGGAAUUUAAUGGAGGGGGACGGACAGAAUCCAGUCACUCAAACUGAAAGCAUGGAGAAGAUGAGUCUUGCAGGGCAUCUCUGCUGCGGUCACUGAGUUACGCUUUUUUUUUUUUCUCCCCCAGGCAACCACUCUUGCAAAAAGGAGGCCCCGUCCCCUUUGCACUUCAUGCAUCCUUAGCCAUUAGGGACCUGUUUAAAUUGAUUUGUCUCCUGACCCUCAGGGAGAAAGCAGUCAAAGUUCGGCAGAAGAGGAAGCAUUCUGGGUUUCUCUGCUGUCCCGGCUCCUUUAACUGUAGCCCGCCUGAUCUCUGUCUCCCCCUCAGGUGGUCUGGCCUCCUCCUCCUGUGCCCCUCAGGGUCCACACACGGAAGGAAGAGAGGGCUGGACUGGAAGUGUCGGGGGACUGGGGCCGAGCAGGAGGGAGGCUGCCCUGACCGGCCUGCCACAGUCCUUUGGCAAGUAGACCCUGGAUGAAUCCAGCCAUCAUUCUGGCUGAGCUGCUUUCUUCCCGUUUUGUCCUUUCCCCUGCAUCUUGUCGACUUGCUACGAUUAGUAGUCUUUAAAGUAUGACUGACUUUGCGGGCGUUUAAAGUUGAAGAAAUUAGGUGAAAAAUCACAAGUGAGUUCUUCCCUUUCUCUGUGGAGCUGAGAGGGACCUUGGAAGCCACCCGAUUAAGCCUCCGUAUUUUAAAGAGGAGGAACCUUCGGCACGAGGGGCUUGCCGCGGUCGCACGGGUUGCCUCACGGAGUGUGAGCUGUACCAGGCAUCUUAGAUCACAGGAGGGGGGUGUCUGCCCGCUAGCAUAUGGGACGUUUCCUCGGCUCCUGUAGACUGACUGCCUGUGGGCUCCUGGGCUCAGCCAGAUUAGGGCAGCAUCUCCAUCAGGUCCUGAGCACGUGUGAUGCUUCUCAGUACUUCAUGUGCACUUCGGGUUUUAAAACAGAUGAGUUUGGAAAGUAGGCAGGGCCAGCUUCAUGGGUGUGCCACCCCCUCAGGAGGAGCCCACCCCUGGCUUAAUGCUCUGCUGUGACCAGCUUGGAAUUCUUAAUAAUUUUGGAACAAGGGCCCUCCACGUUUUCCUUUUGCACUGGGCUCUGCAAAUUAUCUAGCUGGUCCUAAAUGUGGGACGGUUUUUGAGAACAUGCUGUUCCCGUUGAAUAAAGGAGGAUUUAUUUCUUUU
Molecule: long non-coding RNA, 6736 nt
Organism: Aethalodelphis obliquidens (Pacific white-sided dolphin)
Lineage: Eukaryota; Metazoa; Chordata; Mammalia; Artiodactyla; Delphinidae
Exons: 2
Source: RefSeq, a predicted model, not a curated record